Molecule: ribosomal RNA, 722 nt
Filed under: Arthrobacter globiformis
Lineage: Bacteria; Bacillati; Actinomycetota; Actinomycetes; Micrococcales; Micrococcaceae
Description: bacterial SSU rRNA
Rfam family: Bacterial small subunit ribosomal RNA
Source: RNAcentral
GGCUCAGGAUGAACGCUGGCGGCGUGCUUAACACAUGCAAGUCGAACGAUGAUGCCCACUUGUGGGUGGAUUAGUGGCGAACGGGUGAGUAACACGUGAGUAACCUGCCCUUGACUCUGGGAUAAGCCUGGGAAACUGGGUCUAAUACCGGAUAUGACCUUCCAUCGCAUGGUGGUUGGUGGAAAGCUUUUGUGGUUUUGGAUGGACUCGCGGCCUAUCAGCUUGUUGGUGGGGUAAUGGCCUACCAAGGCGACGACGGGUAGCCGGCCUGAGAGGGUGACCGGCCACACUGGGACUGAGACACGGCCCAGACUCCUACGGGAGGCAGCAGUGGGGAAUAUUGCACAAUGGGCGCAAGCCUGAUGCAGCGACGCCGCGUGAGGGAUGACGGCCUUCGGGUUGUAAACCUCUUUCAGUAGGGAAGAAGCGAAAGUGACGGUACCUGCAGAAGAAGCGCCGGCUAACUACGUGCCAGCAGCCGCGGUAAUACGUAGGGCGCAAGCGUUAUCCGGAAUUAUUGGGCGUAAAGAGCUCGUAGGCGGUUUGUCGCGUCUGCCGUGAAAGUCCGGGGCUCAACUCCGGAUCUGCGGUGGGUACGGGCAGACUAGAGUGAUGUAGGGGAGACUGGAAUUCCUGGUGUAGCGGUGAAAUGCGCAGAUAUCAGGAGGAACACCGAUGGCGAAGGCAGGUCUCUGGGCAUUAACUGACGCUGAGGAGCGAAA